Molecule: ribosomal RNA, 460 nt
Filed under: uncultured bacterium
Lineage: Bacteria
Description: partial 16S ribosomal RNA
Rfam family: Bacterial small subunit ribosomal RNA
Source: RNAcentral
CCUACGGGGUGCAGCAGUGAGGAAUAUUGGUCAAUGGACGAGAGUCUGAACCAGCCAAGUAGCGUGAAGGAUGACUGCCCUAUGGGUUGUAAACUUCUUUUAUAUGGGAAUAAAAUGUUCCACGUGUGGGAUUUUGUAUGUACCAUAUGAAUAAGGAUCGGCUAACUCCGUGCCAGCAGCCGCGGUAAUACGGAGGAUCCGAGCGUUAUCCGGAUUUAUUGGGUUUAAAGGGAGCGUAGGUGGAUUGUUAAGUCAGUUGUGAAAGUUUGCGGCUCAACCGUAAAAUUGCAGUUGAAACUGGCAGUCUUGAGUACAGUAGAGGUGGGCGGAAGUCGUGGUGUAGCGGUGAAAUGCUUAGAUAUCACGAAGAACUCCGAUUGCGAAGGCAGUUCACUGGACUGCAACUGACACUGAGGCUCGAAAGUGUGGGUAUCAAACAGGAUUAGAUACCCUAGUAGUC